UUAGAGCUGCCUGGUGGAUAUUUCUCCCGAAAAAUUUUUCUAAGUCCGUUAACAUUACAUGAUCGUUCUCUCGCUAUCCGCUUCUGCUUAUAAGUACAUGUAUGAAUUCCUCUUAGCGCCAUCCACAGGCGCUGAUAGGAUCAUUAUUGAUAUUCCAGCGUUGGUUGGGAUAAUUACGAGCUCUACAUUUAGCGCUAUUCAUUACCCAUAAUUCUAUUCACCUUCAGCAAACGGAGCGGUCGCGCUUAGAGAAAAAUAUUUGUAUAUAUUUAAAUAGGUAUAUUUGUCCUAAUCAAACAUGUUUGGUGCUUUGAAAGCUCUGCCAAACCUUGGACGCAGGAAUUUAGUUCAAACAAGGAAUUUCUAUGGCUAUGUAGGACGACCCAGAGAGCCGCUAUCUAUUGCUGAAACUUGGGCUCAUGGAUUAUGCAUUGCUCUUGGUAUCCUUGCUGUGCCCAGCUAUAUUUUGUGCCACAUUAAGGAAUAUCGUGGUUUAGACAAGCAGGCAGAAGAAUAAAUGCAUAUUUCCAUGGAGGAGGAUUCCAGAUUAAGAAGAAACUAUUUGUAGUAAUGUUUAACUAUUAUUGAUUAAAUAAAUGUUUGAAGUAUAUUAUAGUUUUAUUACUAGAGUCAUAAAUAUAGUCAAAAUUAAAUUGUUUUAAUUAUA
Argiope bruennichi is the source of this 667-nucleotide long non-coding RNA. RefSeq lists it as uncharacterized. Lineage: Eukaryota; Metazoa; Arthropoda; Arachnida; Araneae; Araneidae. The transcript has 2 exons. The record is from RefSeq and is a predicted model, not a curated record.